Molecule: ribosomal RNA, 333 nt
Filed under: Triticum aestivum (bread wheat)
Lineage: Eukaryota; Viridiplantae; Streptophyta; Magnoliopsida; Poales; Poaceae
Description: partial small subunit ribosomal RNA
Source: RNAcentral
AUGACUAUCAUGGCAACUAUGCCACCGCUUCAUAUCCAAACGCAAGAUGAAAUGAAUAAAAGAUGGGAACUACCUGUCAGUAUCUCUCUUACUCCCAAGAUUAUGCUUCUCUCUCUUUCCUUCCCUUCUCCCGAUUCUUUUAAUCAAAUGAACAACAUGAAGGAGAAAAUCAACCAAGCAGAACAGAAAAGAGAUAUAAAAUAUAAGAACAUGAGUAAACCUUAUCUCACUUCAAUACAAAUCAGGGAUGAUUGUGGGCACCCAGCCGGUGAUUAUGUAAAAUUACCUAGAAGAUUCAGCUCUGAUGGUUACACAAGCAAGUAUAUUGUCUGA